UCCUCCUGCCAUUUCUUAGAAAACUCAGCCCCCAAUCUCACACCAAUUUUCAGUACUUGAACAAUGAACCUUUCAUUAUAAAACUGCUCAGCGAAUAAUGGCCAUGUUAUCAUUGAGAUGCCUGCACACAAACCUUCCAACGUCGAAUUCCAACCACAAUGUGUCAAGAAUCCUCCAAUGGCACGAUGUGAUAAGAUUAGCACUUGUGGCGCCCAGCCAUGGAUCAGAAGGCCUCUUCCUUUUAUUCUGGUCUCAAAUUGUUCUUCAGAUAUCCACUUCUCAAUCUCUUUUGCGCUAUUACCUCUUCUUAUAACCCAAAUGAAAGGUCGGUUAGCUGCUUCCAAGCCUAAUCCAAGCUC
Molecule: unclassified non-coding RNA, 359 nt
Filed under: Hevea brasiliensis (rubber tree)
Lineage: Eukaryota; Viridiplantae; Streptophyta; Magnoliopsida; Malpighiales; Euphorbiaceae
Source: RNAcentral